UUGAACGCUGGCGGCAUGCUUUACACAUGCAAGUCGAACGGCAGCGCGGGCUUCGGCCUGGCGGCGAGUGGCGAACGGGUGAGUAAUGCAUCGGAACGUGCCCAGUAGUGGGGGAUAGCCCGGCGAAAGCCGGAUUAAUACCGCAUACGACCUGAGGGUGAAAGCGGGGGACCGAAAGGCCUCGCGCUAUUGGAGCGGCCGAUGUCGGAUUAGCUAGUUGGUGGGGUAAAGGCUUACCAAGGCGACGAUCCGUAGCUGGUCUGAGAGGACGACCAGCCACACUGGGACUGAGACACGGCCCAGACUCCUACGGGAGGCAGCAGUGGGGAAUUUUGGACAAAGGGGGCAACCCUGAUCCAGCCAUGCCGCGUGCGGGAAGAAGGCCUUCGGGUUGUAAACCGCUUUUGUUCGGGAAGAAAUCCUCUGGGCUAAUACCCCGGGGGGAUGACGGUACCGGAAGAAUAAGCACCGGCUAACUACGUG
Molecule: ribosomal RNA, 483 nt
Filed under: uncultured bacterium
Lineage: Bacteria
Description: partial 16S ribosomal RNA
Rfam family: Bacterial small subunit ribosomal RNA
Source: RNAcentral